Molecule: non-coding RNA, 98 nt
Organism: Acanthosepion pharaonis
Lineage: Eukaryota; Metazoa; Mollusca; Cephalopoda; Sepiida; Sepiidae
Source: the annotation of a GenBank genome assembly
AGGACUAAACACGUUCUCGUAUGAUCAUCAAAGUUAAGCAACGUUGAGCCUGAUCAGUACCUAGAUGAGUGACCACUUGGGAAUACUAGGUGCUGUAA